Molecule: ribosomal RNA, 456 nt
Filed under: uncultured Azospira sp.
Lineage: Bacteria; Pseudomonadati; Pseudomonadota; Betaproteobacteria; Rhodocyclales; Rhodocyclaceae
Description: bacterial SSU rRNA
Rfam family: Bacterial small subunit ribosomal RNA
Source: RNAcentral
UCCUGGCUCAGAUUGAACGCUGGCGGCAUGCCUUACACAUGCAAGUCGAACGGCAGCACGGGAGCUUGCUCCUGGUGGCGAGUGGCGAACGGGUGAGUAAUACAUCGGAACGUACCCAGGAGUGGGGGAUAACGUAGCGAAAGUUACGCUAAUACCGCAUAUUCUGUGAGCAGGAAAGCGGGGGAUCGCAAGACCUCGCGCUCUUGGAGCGGCCGAUGUCGGAUUAGCUAGUUGGUGAGGUAAAAGCUCACCAAGGCGACGAUCCGUAGCAGGUCUGAGAGGAUGAUCUGCCACACUGGGACUGAGACACGGCCCAGACUCCUACGGGAGGCAGCAGUGGGGAAUUUUGGACAAUGGGGGCAACCCUGAUCCAGCCAUGCCGCGUGAGUGAAGAAGGCCUUCGGGUUGUAAAGCUCUUUCGGCGGGGAAGAAAUGGCAACGGCUAAUAUCCGUUGU